Long non-coding RNA from Homo sapiens (human), 1144 nucleotides. RefSeq lists it as uncharacterized. The record is from RefSeq and is marked validated. Lineage: Eukaryota; Metazoa; Chordata; Mammalia; Primates; Hominidae. The transcript is spliced from 5 exons.
AGAGGCCGUCCUGUAGCCGGGCCGGCUUGGGGCUUGGUUCUAUGUCCCUGCGGGUCGGUGCAAGGGCGAAGAGGAACCCGUGGGCCUCAGGGGAUCCCGGGGGGCCGGACCAGUGUUCCCUAGUUGUGGGAGCAGACGCGUGGGCACAUUGCGGGCGGGCAGGGCCUGAAGUGCAGCUAUGUUUCCAGUGUCCUCUGGGUGUUUCCAAGAGCAACAAGAAAUGAAUAAAUCUCUGUUGAAGAGAUACCAUUUGACAUUUUAGAGAUGGCUGCAUGCAAACUCUUGAAACAUUUGACCACCCUCCAGGGUGCCCCGACUCACUUUCCCUGCAGAUGGAGGCAAGGAGGCUCCACAGACAACCCCCCUGCCUGAGGUCACAUAGUGGCCAGCAGGCCAGAGCUGGCGCAGAGAAAAUACAAGCUGAGCUUAGAACAUCUUCUGCCAGAAAGUAAAAAAGUGCCGACAGAGUAAUGGAGACAAAUCAAAGAGACAUAAAGUCAGCUUGGAAUGUCUACUACUGGCCUAAUCUUGGGGAAUUGGAGCAUCAGAAUCAUGAGCUUUCCUUCUCCCUUAUUUAUUGGUUUUAUUUCUCCAUGUAGAACAAAGAAGAGAAUAAGAAAAUAAUCAUCUGGUAACCAUCAUAGUAAUAAUUGUUCAAACACAAGUCAUCCAUGAAAUGCUAAAUCUAGUGGGUUCUGAGGAGUAACCAGAUAUUUACAGAGCCUCAAAGUAUCUCCAUACAAAAUACGGUUGAACUACAAAAAGAAAAUUGUAACAUUAGCAUGGACAAACCUGGCAGGUACUCCUUAACUCUCCUAAGUAAUAAAAACUGUAAAAUGCAAAUAAGCCUUCGAUGACCUUUACUAACCUUUACUAAAGUAUCAGUGAUGACUUGGUUGUUUAAACAGCUGACAUUUGGGCAAUUUGAGUAUGUCAAACUCAAUAAUACUGGUUUUCAUUUGCAAGAUCCACUUAAAACUUAAGGAGGCCAAAAAACAUCAUUUAAAAUACCCUAUAAAUUAUAAUCAUACAUAUGAUACAAAAAUAUCCUACUUCAGUAAAUAUUGGAAUGUUAUAUAUUUUAUGAGAAACAAUUAAAAUGUGUAAAUAGCCCAGUAAUAAAGUUUUAUAAUCUUUUAAAUCA